AUCCUCCUAAACGCUGGUCUUGGGGAUGGUAAAAGGAGGAAAACGAACACUGAAGCUGGUCUCACAGUGCUUUCAGUCUGAUACACAGCCUGUGGGCUAGUUUCAAACCAGA
Molecule: small nucleolar RNA, 112 nt
Organism: Panthera pardus (leopard)
Lineage: Eukaryota; Metazoa; Chordata; Mammalia; Carnivora; Felidae
Source: Ensembl